UACGGGAGAAAGCAGGGGACCUUCGGGCCUUGCGCUAUCAGAUGAGCCUAGGUCGGAUUAGCUAGUUGGUGAGGUAAUCGCUCACCAAGGCGACGAUCCGUAACUGGUCUGAGAGGAUGAUCAGUCACACUGGAACUGAGACACGGUCCAGACUCCUACGGGAGGCAGCAGUGGGGAAUAUUGGACAAUGGGCGAAAGCCUGAUCCAGCCAUGCCGCGUGUGUGAAGAAGGUCUUCGGAUUGUAAAGCACUUUAAGUUGGGAGGAAGGGCAGUAACCUAAUACGUUGCGGUCUUGACGUU
RNAcentral lists this ribosomal RNA (300 nucleotides) under Pseudomonas sp. It matches the Rfam family "Bacterial small subunit ribosomal RNA", at positions 195 to 476 of the family's 1533-position model. Lineage: Bacteria; Pseudomonadati; Pseudomonadota; Gammaproteobacteria; Pseudomonadales; Pseudomonadaceae. The record is from RNAcentral.